Molecule: non-coding RNA, 531 nt
Organism: Arachis ipaensis
Lineage: Eukaryota; Viridiplantae; Streptophyta; Magnoliopsida; Fabales; Fabaceae
Source: RefSeq, a predicted model, not a curated record
AAUUAGAACAAUCAGAUGAUUAGUAUUUUAAAUCUUUUUUGUAUAUAUAGUAAUAUGGACUGGUAACUGGCAAUAUCGCAGGGCUUAUGUUUUAUUGGGUAAACUUUCAGUUUUUUGCAUUGUUGACGAGGAAAUCUUAGGUUCAUUUUAAAUUUUUAACCAUGGAACAUCAAGAUUUAGUGGAUAAGAAUGAAGAUAGCGUUUAAUCGAUCAAAAAGGUUAGCAAUACUGAAGAUCGGGAUAAGAUGAAUGAGGUUGAAGGUGUAAAAUCUGAGUUGAUUAAUGUUGAUGAGAGCAAGGAUUUGCAAUCUGAAACUUAAUUGAACUGAUUGUAUUUGCCCACCUAUCUACAGUGGCUGAAGAUGAUGCUUCCUUGGUCAAGCAAAUUGGCCAAAGUUUCUGGUAUUCUAAAAUAGAGGCAAGAAGGGAGGAACAAAUCCAGGCUGCUCAUGACGAAGCCAUGUUUGGUGCUUCAGCACUUCCACCUCCUACCAGUACUGACAGUGAGCCUGAAAGGGAGAAUGAGAAGAA